GGUUCCUUCUCUUCUGGAACUUUUUCAGCUGAGCUGAUCAUUAGAAGAAAUUGUACCUGAGUUUGUUUAUUUCCUUUUCCAUCCCAAUCUUUGUCAUGUCUUUUUGGAUUGUGAGUCAGAGGACAGAGACUAUUGAUUGUGGUUGGAACCUUUUUUGACUGAAGCACAUAAGUUAUUUAAAUGAAUGUGUACAUUAAAAGCUGAUGCCGUUUGACGGAGGGUAUCUGUUUGCAUGCAUAUAAAAUGAGGUUUUCUAGUCUUAAUACUGGCUUUAUGCUCAUGGAUUGGAGGUGAGGUUGCUAAUCAGCUUGCACCUGAGAUAUAACAACAGCUUAGUCAUUUACAAAUAGUUUCCCUAUCCCUACUGCCCUUCCAUUUCAGUUCCUCAACUUUUUUUUAUUCUACAGAUUCUCUGACAGUCUUUGUUAUUUAGUACCCAGGUAUUCUGACUGCUUUCCUAACAAUGAAUUUGUUUCAAAUGACGUUUUUACAUUUAGAUGCAGCUGGAUAAUACUAUACUUGGGAAUGGUUUGUGGGGGGGAGUGUCUUCAUAUUGUGUCUUUUAAUUCCACUGAACCCAGCAGAGUUAAAUGUAGUUUGGAAGCACAGGGAAGAAUUAAUGAUUGGAAGAUACAGAGUUGGUAAAUUAUUUAUUCUGGCCCCGAGGAAGCUGAAAAGCUGAGUGAAAGACUAAUAAAUCAUUUGUGGUAGUGCUGGUUGUCACUUCCAAUUAUUUUAGACGGUUUUGUGAUAAACUGCAGCACCUGCUAGAUAUCCCUACACCAUCCCUUGAUGCUGGCAGUGCAGCUUGUUCAGUCGAUUAUCAAAGGCAAGUUUAUCUAAACUUUCUACAGGUUAAAGGAAGAAUUGCUGUUCGUCCUCCCUGCCUUUAUUUUUGAAGAUGUCUUUUUAGAGCAUGUGUGGUAUAUGGACGAGGCACUAUACAAUUCAGGAAGCUGCUAGAUGUUAAUCAAUAGUUUUCUGUAGUUCCACUCGGGAGUGGGCUAAUUCAGGAGCAUCUAUUUAAGACCACAUAUUUUCUUGAUAACCGCAAUCUAGGUUACUUGCACUAAACCAUUAUGGAUUAAACACAGAGAUUAUGCUGAAGUCAGGGAAGCAGCCAUUUUACACAAGCCCUUAGAGCCCUUAUACCUAAAGCAGGCAAUAGUUUUGUCCAGAUACAGUUCUACUCAGAAGUGGAUACAGUAUGAAGGUGGAACAUCUUUGACAAUCCCUCUAAUAAACAAACUGCAGUAUACAACCUUUCAUUUUGUUGUUUAGUCAUGUCUGACUCUUCGUGACCCUAUGGACCAGAGCACGCCAGGCCUUCCUGUCUUCCACUGCCUCCCGCAGUUUGGUCAAACUCAUGUUGGUAGCUUCAAGAACACUGUCCAACCAUAACCUUUCAUUUAGUUCUCUUUAAUUGUGUGUAUGUUUAUUGUACAGUGGUGCCUCGCAAGACGAAAUUAAUCUGUUCCGCAAGUUUCUUCGUCUUGCGGUUUUUUCGUCUUGCGAAGCACGGCUAUUAGCGGCUUAGCGGCUAUUAACGGCUUAGCGGCUUUAAGAAAAAGGAAACAAACUUGCAAGAACUCGCAAGAUGUUUCGUCUUGCGAAGCAAGCCCAUAGGGAAAUUCGUCUUGCGGAACGACUCAAAAAACGGAAAACUCUUUCAUCUAGCGAGUUUUUCGUCUUGCAAGGCAUUCGUCUUGCGGGGCACCACUGUAUUUGGAGUGAAUGGUUUUGCCAUUAGCUAAUCAAUUAAGUUUAUUUUUGCACCAUAGAUAAAAAGGACCUUGGAGUUUCGUCGAUGUCAAAUACAGAGGAAACAAGGCCUGUUAAUAAGAAUUCAAUUCAACCCUGUAUAGAUUACGUAUUGUCAAAUUGUGAUUUUGCUUAAGAAAAGAUGCUGCUGCUAGUCACUUAAUUGUGUAAUGACUGCAAAUGUUUGCCACAUGACACACUUCAUUUUUUGCCUCAUGCAAAGCAUAGUUUCCUACAAGUCAGUAGAUGGUUGCAGAUCUGUCUUCUACCCCAAAUGCGUACUGUGCUGGUGAUGCUGUUCUUCUGAACUUCCUUCAUAUCACUAACUGCCCUUCAGCCAACCUUGGAAAUAGAUGAAAUGAGAGAUAUGAUACUUGCCCCCACUUGACUACUCUGUGGGGGGGAGGGAAUGUUUGGGUGCCAUCUGAUAUGUUGCAUAUAAAGCUGCUUUCCCCCUCCCAUACUUUUUGUAUGAUAUCUUGAGCAUGGCAGCUUCUCCAGAUACUGUGAAAAUCAACAUGUCAUAAUUUGUGUCACACAGAGUAUUGUUUUGUAGGACCAGUGUGUGAAACACAGAAAACAAAAACAGUCCUGGGAGUUGAAUCUAAGUGUUAUCCUUGUUUAGAGUGGAGUUACCUGGUUCUGAAUCACAAGAACCAUCGCUUUACUCCCCAGCCACAGCUUCUGUCUUGGCUGUAAUACAUGCAAUUCCUCCUUCAGCUCUGCCCUCCCAAGUGACAUAUAGGGAAGCAAAACAGGCACAUGCUGUGGAGCAGGUUUGGAGGCCUGUGGUGCCUCACAAGAAGAAAGAAAAAUGCUUGUUAUUUUGAUUAUAGAUGUGAUUCACUUUGUUUAUAUCCAGUCAUCACUCUAGACUAUUUAUUUUUUAAUAGAAGCAUUUCUAUACUGCCAUAUCAUAAAAUAUCAGGGCGGUAUACAACAAUAAAAGAGAACACCAUUAAAAACAGAAAACAAAUAAUCAUUAAAGUGACUGGCUAAUUAAACAGCUGCAAAGGCCUAUCAGCAUAGAAAGGGCAUCAAUAGAUGUCUGAAAGUCAAAAGCAAGGACGCCUGCUGAAUCUCGACUGGAAGAUUGUUCCACUAAGUGCCCAACAGUUGGGCCUCUGCAAAACAAGGGAUAAGUGGCAGUGCUCCUCUGGAUGAUCUUAGUUUCUGAGUUGGAAUAUAAGGGCUCAAUUGGUUCUUAAGGUAUCUUGGACCCAAGUGGUACUUAAUAAAGAUGUCACUACAUGUAGCAGCAUCAGCUGCCCAAGUAUUGUUACUGAUGCUUUAAAAUGGUGGGGAGAGUGGACUCUGCUCACCUCAGGUGCUUUUGUGUAGCUGGAAUGUGUCACUGAGCUGUGAUAAUGUCACUACCAUGUCUGGAUGGAUAGGUGUGGUUUGCAGACAUCUCGUAACUUGCGUGCAACUAAAAUAUAACCUACUGAGCAAAGAUAAGAGCUAUAUCCAUUGCUCUCUCUCUCGGGUCCUGACCACCUCUGGCUUGUGAGCAUGGAAGGUUGCCCAUCAGGCAAUGUGGCUGGAAAAAAGUUUCCCCACCCCCGUUUUAAAAACAACACUUAAUGUGUGAGUAUAUGACUAGCCCAUAGGAGCUAUGCUAGCUCAGUCUCUAAGGCUAGUAUGUUGUAUGACGCUUAACACCUGACAUUAGUGACGUGGGUAAUUGUAGUGGAAGCUACAGAAAAACACAUUUCCAGAUGGAACUUUAAUAUAACUUCUGAUUGAGCUGGGUAUCUUUUAAGAGUCUCCUAGCAUCUGUUGGGGAAAUGUGUAUGGCAUUAUUCUAAAUUUUCACCAAAUUAAGCCACCCUCAGGGCAAGGUUGAAAUUCCUUUACUGAUAAACGUAUUGUCAACAGCUUCUUUACAGUACAUUAAGUAAAACCUCAGAUAAAAGUUUUAUUUAUCUGAUAUCAGUUAAAAAUACAUAAAGUACCUUACUGUUAAAGUAUUCUUUAAAUGGAGAAAAAUAGAGACAAGGCAGCAGCUGAACUGUAACUAGGGCUGCUUAUUCACAUUUGUGUCAUGUGCUUUGUUCUGCUUUUUUUUAUUUGAAUGGAAUUCAUUAAGUUGGAAGAAGUACUUUCAAAUGUUUUCUAGUGAGAGCUGGUCAAAUAGUGAGUGUUCAUCUUAACUUUGUCCUGAAAAUGGACUGAGUGGCUAGGUGAGUGUCCUGAUCUCACCUUCUCUUUGCCUCUACUUUCCAUAAUCAUCUUCUCUUAUUUCAUUUCCCUCAUUUCUCCUCCCAGUGCUGAUCAUAACCCAGGUUCCUCUGAUACCUGCAUCUUCCACAAUUUCUUUCCUAAGCGACUUUUUUCUUUAUACAUCCUUUGCUCACGACCUGUUUGCUUUCUUCUCUGUCCCAUUAUGGAGUACCUUACCUGGCUCCUCUUCUCUUCCAGAGAAGGAAACUUGUGGCACUCCAGUUGUUGUUGGGCUCCAAAUCCAGUCAGCAUUGUAGUAUUGGGUAUGAUGGAAACUGUAGUCUCACAACAUUUGGAGGCUGGACUAUAGAUUGCCUAUCCAUGUACAAUCUGUACAUUGUCUCACACAACAUGUCAUACAUAUUCAUAUGGAAGAUGUUCUGAGGAUGAGGGGCACCUGAACAGCUUUCCUCCAGAAAAAGAUUUCCCCCCCAGAUUUUCAAAACACAGCCCAUUUUUUUCCUUUCUACUCCAACUUUUAUCUUUCCUCCCUAUGCUGGGAAAGCAGUUCAGGAGGAGGAAGUUGGCAAGGUUGGCAAGUAAACUUACUCAAAGGCAUUUGGAGUACUGUGUAGUAAGGGUUCUCUAAAACACUUGUAUGAACAUUUGAUUCAUAUAAAACCAGAGUGUUUCAUAACAAAUCCAUUAGAAAUAUAGUAGUCUGUGAAAACCACCAAGCAAUUAAAUUGAUCAAAAGGUAAGCAUACAAUAUCAUAAGACAAUGGGGGCUACAAGCACUCUGACAGUAAUUUUUGAAGGAGAGCCAGUAGUGAAAAUGUACAAACUUAUGUGGGAAGAGAGUUUCGUCACAGUUCAGUUACAGAAAGAAUCCUGUUUGCUGUCACAAAUAAAUAAAAUAAUUUUAACUUUUGUAUGCUUUAAAGUGGGGUUGUAAAUUUUUCUUGAUUUUCUUGCUUCUUGAUGACCCUCCCUUUUGAAUUUGAGGUCUCAGUUAUGUUAUACAUGAAAAGUUGAGCUCCAAAGAGGCCAUAUAUACACAUUUUUGGUGGGCUGAUGCCCUUUUAACCUCUUGUAGUCUGUAGGGGUGGUUUUUACAUGUAUGAUGCUAGAAAUAUGAAGCUCAAAAAUUGUUUUGUACCUCCCAGUGAACUUCAGCGACGUGUGGGAGCUGGCACUGUAUUGCUCUGUGUGUGGUUUCUAGAUUGCAGCCGAUCUAGAAGCCGCCUGAGCCCUGUCUUGGCUGGGGAGGGCGGGGUAUAAAUAAAAAAAAAAAUUAUUAUUAUUGCUGACAUUGGUGGGCAGCAAAGGGCUGUGUGCUGACAAAGAAGCAGACAGGGGGCAGGAAGCUCAGGCACUAUGUGGGGAGCUAUGGGAUGCAGCUGGGCAGUGGGAACGUGAUUUGAAUUCAGCCUCAAAAGGAAACUGUCCAAUUUGUGUGGGAGAGGGGCAAUAUGACCAAAACUAUUGGCCAGAGCUUUGGAUGGGGGAAAAGCAAAUGAGCGGUGCUUUGGACUUGGCUCUCCCAAAAGCUUAGCAACUCUUUUCUUAGGAAAACGAGUCAGUUCAUCUAUUUGAAUGCCUUUAUGUGUUUUUUAUGGUAAAGACCUGGGUCUAUAGAAAGGGAAGGAAAGAAACAUCUUGCAUUUAUCUUAAUCUGUGUUAAUAAAAAUAGAAUAAAAACAUUACAAACAAUUUAGUUAAGAAAGAAGCUGUAAAAAGCAUCAUUAAAUAGCUGAUAGGAGCAAAAAAAUAAACUGUGCCCUGAAUGGGUCAGAAGUCGUAUGUUCUCAAUGAAAAAGAACCACACCUUUCACUUGUGGUAGCCCAAUUCCCAAGUAUGUCUUCCUGUUGGGCCCUCCUAAGCACCAAUAAUAGCUCUCUUCUCUGCCAAAUAGUUUGUAUGCUUUUAUCUUCAGUCUGUUGGUCCACUUUACAUCAGAGUAGAAGCUAACUGAUGAAUACAAAAAGCAUGAAAAAAAUGCUUUACGUUGGAAAUGUUUUAUAAAAGUUUAAACAUCCAGUCGGCAUUGUACCUUUAUGGUAUCUUUAAUAUGAUAAAAUUAAUUUGCAGUUCAUGCAUGCUACCAGAUGUAUUAUGACAUUCCCAUGAGAUUUAGUAUACAUGUCAGUUAAAGCAAUUUUAAACCGUAUGGCUGGUAUGCUAUAGGUUUCUAUAAGCAUUUAAAAUUUAUUAGUAUUUGCGUUGUAAGAAUUGUGAUAGAAUUGAAGAAAGCAAAGUUUAUUUCCACAUGGACCAUUGAAAAUUGUCAGUCUUAAAGAAUAAUCAAGGGCUAAAUUAGCAGUACAAUCUUAUGCAUGUCUGAUCAGAAAUAAGUUUCAUUAAGUUACUCUCAGGUAAGUGAGCAUUGGAGUGUAGCCUAAGAAUCUUUUUAGUUAAAAUAUAUGUGUUUAUCUUUUCUUUCAUGUUUUUUAAGGGAAAGGGACAACUAAAUGGAAGGGAAAAUGUUAACUUGUAGAUUUUGAAUGUCAGCAUGACCUGUUUUUGUUUAGGAAUGACAUAUUUGUCAUUCUGAUGAAGCUGCUUUCUUUCAUACCUUACUGUUGACAGAAUUGGACCUACUUUCCCCAUUUAUUAUGAUAAUGGCAUAGUGGAUGUCAUAUGCUAGUAGAGUUCUCUCUGUCUAUUACUACACUGCAUGCAUAGUACAUUUUGUUGCUUUCCUCUGGAAUUAACUGCUUGUUUUCAGUGUAUAUGUUGGUGGAGUGAUUUGUAGCAAAAGAAGUAACUGUCCAAAUGAACUUUUGAGAAUAAUGUUAUUUUAUCACUGUAAAUAUAUGUGCUAGGCACAGAGCACAAAAGUCCACAAGUAUCUUAUUUCAUUAAAGGAAACCUGCUCAAAUCCUGUUUUAGAGCAGGGGGAAGUAUGUUGCUGCUUCUUUUCCAUCAGCGACAGAAGACCGGUAGAAGCAGCAAUCCCAUUACAAAAGUAAAAACUGGUUUGGAUCCAAACUUAGUCAUGCUUGGAGUAUACCCAUUGAAAUCAAUGAGAAUUAAGUUUGACAUGCUUACAGUCAUUACUAAGUCCGGAUCAAACCCAACACAAGCAGCAAUAAUACACUAUAACAGAAGUAGUAAGACAUGGACAAAUAAAAUCAUUUCACUGAUACCUAUGCCUCAUAGGUUUCUAGGAGGACAUUGCAAAGCUAGGGUGUUCUUAAUAAGGAGACCUGCUCUCUGAUUACUGCUUGAGUAAUCUCUCCAGCUAGAGUAACCUAGGGAAGUUCCUCUAUAGAUUAUUUCAGAACUGAUAAGAAGGAUUGUAUGGGAGAGAUGCUGAGAAAGCCUGGAUUGAAUCCUAUGGAGGCCUUAUGUGAAUGGAAGGAGAGAGACAAGUCUCACCUAUUCCAACCCCCACCCCCCGCCUGCCUAUUUCCUCUCAUUCAAAGUCAAGUUGACUACAGGAAAGGUGUCUUGAAGUGCUAUUGUAGCUGCCUCAUAAGAAGAACAUGAGUGUUACCAGUUCCUGACAGCUGCAAGACAGCCUCAGGGCAUCUUGCUAAAAUUUCAGAUUUAAUUGUACAGUACACUUCCUUUAACAAAUUGUGUUCCCAGCUAUAAUUAUAAAAAGUUUACUCUACACGCCUCUAGCCUGUUCCUUUUAUUUGUACCCGCCUAUAUAUCUCUUGCUAUAGGAUAAAUCUAUCCAUUGGGGUUUAGUGAUCUAUGUAAAGCAGUGAAUUUUUCUUUUACUGGAAAAAAAGGUAUCUUUAGCCAUUCUUGGAUAGAUACCAGUGAUCCUUUUUCAGUCAAAUAACUAUUAACUUAUUUAUUUCUUUUAUAAAUUGCUUCCUAUGAGGCACCCUAAAGCGAUUUACAGUAUAAUAGCAUAUGUAAAAGCGAUACAUAUAUAAAGAAAUUUGAAAAACAGUUAUAAAUAUAAUAUCAGCUUAAAGCACAUACAUAAAACCAGUUCAACUCCAAAACAGUUAAGAGAAGGAUACUAGAAUGCUUGUUGAAAGAGAUAAUUUUUAACAUGCACAAAAAAGACAAUAAAAUGCCUGUCUCAUAUGCCAUAGCAGGGAGACCCAAAGGGCAGCUGCCACCACACUAAAGGCCCAAUUCUGACAUCGUGCC
Molecule: non-coding RNA, 8041 nt
Organism: Podarcis lilfordi (Lilford's wall lizard)
Lineage: Eukaryota; Metazoa; Chordata; Lepidosauria; Squamata; Lacertidae
Source: the annotation of a GenBank genome assembly